UAAAAAAUAGUUUAAAUUAAAAUAUUAAUUUUGGAAAUUAAUGAAAUAAAUAUAAUUUAUUUUUUUUUA
RNAcentral lists this transfer RNA (69 nucleotides) under Dolichogenidea sp. n. SNS-2016. RNAcentral describes it as "tRNA-Pro". The record is from RNAcentral. Lineage: Eukaryota; Metazoa; Arthropoda; Insecta; Hymenoptera; Braconidae.